This 253-nucleotide ribosomal RNA is filed under the name uncultured bacterium. Its description in RNAcentral is "partial 16S ribosomal RNA". It matches the Rfam family "Bacterial small subunit ribosomal RNA", at positions 524 to 776 of the family's 1533-position model. The record is from RNAcentral.
UACAGAGGUCUCAAGCGUUGUUCGGAUUCAUUGGGCGUAAAGGGCGCGUAGGCGGCGGGGUAAGUCGGAUGUGAAAUCUCAGGGCUCAACCCUGAAACUGCAUUCGAUACUGCUCUGCUUGAGGACUGGAGAGGAGACUGGAAUUCACGGUGUAGCAGUGAAAUGCGUAGAGAUCGUGAGGAAGACCAGUGGCGAAGGCGGGUCUCUGGGCCGAUACUGACGCUGAGGAGCGAAAGCGUGGGGAGCGAACAGG